AUUCAGCGUUAGCUAUUGCAGCGGUAUCCUUUUUUUGCGGAAGGCCGGCUAAAAAAGAUUUAGCGGAAAGAGCGACCCGUA
This 81-nucleotide small RNA is filed under the name Arenibacter nanhaiticus. RNAcentral's name for it is "Flavo-1 RNA". It matches the Rfam family "Flavo-1 RNA". Lineage: Bacteria; Pseudomonadati; Bacteroidota; Flavobacteriia; Flavobacteriales; Flavobacteriaceae. The record is from RNAcentral.